UUUCCGGUGAUCCUGCCGGACCUGACUGCUAUCGGAUUGAUACUAAGUCCAUGCGAGUCAUUGUAGUAAUACAAGGCAGACGGCUCAGUAACGCGUAGUCAACCUACCCUAUGGACGGGGAUAACCUCGGGAAACUGAGAAUAAUACCCGAUAGAACAUUAUGCCUGGAAUGGUUUAUGUUUCAAAUAAUUUAUUGCCGUAGGAUGGGACUGCGGCCUAUCAGUUUGUUGGUGAGGUAAUGGCCCACCAAGACUAUUACAGGUACGGGCUCUGAGAGGAGUAGCCCGGAGAUGGGUACUGAGACACGGACCCAGGCCCUAUGGGGCGCAGCAGGCGAGAAAACUUUGCAAUGUGCGAAAGCACGACAAGGUUAAUCCGAGUGGUUUCUGCUAAAGGAACCUUUUGUCAGUCCUAGAAACACUGAUGAAUAAGGGGUGGGCAAGUUCUGGUGUCAGCCGCCGCGGUAAAACCAGCACCUCAAGUGGUCAGGAUGAUUAUUGGGCCUAAAGCAUCCGUAGCCUGCUUUGUUAGUUUUCGGUUAAAUCCAUACGCUCAACGUAUGGGCUGCCGGGAAUACUGCAAAGCUAGGGAGUGGGAGAGGUAGACGGUACUCGGUAGGAAGGGGUAAAAUCCUUUGAUCUAUUGAUGACCACCUGUGGCGAAGGCGGUCUACCAGAACACGUCCGACGGUGAGGGAUGAAAGCUGGGGGAGCAAACCGGAUUAGAUACCCGGGUAGUCCCAGCUGUAAACUAUGCAAACUCAGUGAUGCAUUGGCUUGAUGCCAAUGCAGUGCUGCAGGGAAGCCGUUAAGUUUGCCGCCUGGGAAGUACGUACGCAAGUAUGAAACUUAAAGGAAUUGGCGGGGGAGCACCACAAGGGGUGAAGCCUGCGGUUCAAUUGGAUUCAACGCCGGG
RNAcentral lists this ribosomal RNA (915 nucleotides) under uncultured archaeon. Its description in RNAcentral is "bacterial SSU rRNA". It matches the Rfam family "Archaeal small subunit ribosomal RNA", at positions 1 to 922 of the family's 1478-position model. The record is from RNAcentral.